GAACGUCGUGAGACAGUUCGGUCCCUAUCUGCCGUGGGCGCUGGAGAACUGAGGGGGGCUGCUCCUAGUACGAGAGGACCGGAGUGGACGCAUCACUGGUGUUCGGGUUGUCAUGCCAAUGGCACUGUCCGGUAGCUAAAUGCGGAAGAGAUAAGUGCUGAAAGCAUCUAAGCACGAAACUUGCCCCGAGAUGAGUUCUCCCUGACCCUUUAAGGGUCCUGAAGGAACGUUGAAGACGACGACGUUGAUAGGCCGGGUGUGUAAGCGCAGCGAUGCGUUGAGCUAACCGGUACUAAUGAACCGUGAGGCUUAACCUUACAACGCCGAAGCUGUU
This 334-nucleotide ribosomal RNA is filed under the name Escherichia coli. RNAcentral's name for it is "partial 23S ribosomal RNA". It matches the Rfam family "Bacterial large subunit ribosomal RNA", at positions 2614 to 2925 of the family's 2925-position model. The record is from RNAcentral. Lineage: Bacteria; Pseudomonadati; Pseudomonadota; Gammaproteobacteria; Enterobacterales; Enterobacteriaceae.